GGUUUACCUGUGUGACUGCGUACCUUUUGUAUAAUGGGUCAGCGACUUAUAUUCUGUAGCAAGGUUAACCGUAUAGGGGAGCCGGAGGGAAACCGAGUCUUAAUUGGGCGUUAAGUUGCAGGGUAUAGACCCGAAACCCGGUGAUCUAGCCAUGGGCAGGUUGAAGGUUGGGUAACACUAACUGGAGGACCGAACCGACUAAUGUUGAAAAAUUAGCGGAUGACCUGUGGCUGGGGGUGAAAGGCCAAUCAAACCGGGAGAUAGCUGGUUCUCCCCGAAAGCUAUUUAGGUAGCGCCUCGUGAAUUCAUCUCCGGGGGUAGAGCACUGUUUCGGCUAGGGGGCCAUCCCGGCUUACCAACCCGAUGCAAACUGCGAAUACCGGAGAAUGUUAUCACGGGAGACACACGGCGGGUGCUAACGUCCGUCGUGAAGAGGGAAACAACCCAGACCGCCAGCUAAGGUCCCAAAGUCAUGGUUAAGUGGGAAACGAUGUGGGAAGGCCCAGACAGCCAGGAUGUUGGCUUAGAAGCAGCCAUCAUUUAAAGAAAGCGUAAUAGCUCACUGGUCGAGUCGGCCUGCGCGGAAGAUGUAACGGGGCUAAACCAUGCACCGAAGCUGCGGCAGCGAACGUAUCACCCAAGACAACUUUACGGAGUUGACGAUUGACGGAGCGAAGCGACGUCAAAGCGUUCAUUAAAGUCGAGUUGGCUUAGGGAUACGUUCGUUGGGUAGGGGAGCGUUCUGUAAGCCUGUGAAGGUGUGUCGUGAGGC
Molecule: ribosomal RNA, 772 nt
Filed under: Salmonella enterica subsp. enterica serovar Typhimurium
Lineage: Bacteria; Pseudomonadati; Pseudomonadota; Gammaproteobacteria; Enterobacterales; Enterobacteriaceae
Description: partial 23S ribosomal RNA
Rfam family: Bacterial large subunit ribosomal RNA
Source: RNAcentral